This 332-nucleotide unclassified non-coding RNA is filed under the name soil metagenome. RNAcentral describes it as "partial contains 5.8S ribosomal RNA, internal transcribed spacer 2, and large subunit ribosomal RNA". The stretch from base 1 to 120 matches the Rfam family "5.8S ribosomal RNA", at positions 35 to 154 of the family's 154-position model. The record is from RNAcentral.
GAUGAAGAACGUAGCGAAAUGCGAUAAGUAAUGUGAAUUGCAGAAUUCAGUGAAUCAUCGAAUCUUUGAACGCACAUUGCGCCCGCUAGUAUUCUGGCGGGCAUGCCUGUUCGAGCGUCAUUUCAACCAUCAAGCCCUAGGCUUGCGUUGGAGCCCUGCGGCUGCCGCAGGCUCCCGAAUCCAGUGGCGGGCUCGUCGUCGUACCGAGUGCAGUAAACAUCCUCGCUCAGGGAACGUGACGGGUUCUUGCCGUGAAACCCCCCACAUAUCAAGGUUGACCUCGGAUCAGGUAGGAAUACCCGCUGAACUUAAGCAUAUCAAUAAGCGGAGGA